This 468-nucleotide ribosomal RNA is filed under the name uncultured bacterium. RNAcentral's name for it is "bacterial SSU rRNA". It matches the Rfam family "Bacterial small subunit ribosomal RNA", at positions 328 to 793 of the family's 1533-position model. The record is from RNAcentral.
CGCUAUCACUCCUACGGGAGCAGCAGUAGGGAAUAUGGUCAAUGGCGAAAGCCUGAACCAGCCAUGCCGCGUGUCAGAUGAAGGUCCUCUGGAUUGUAAAUGACUUUUCUACGGGAAGAAUGAGCCGUCUGCGGACGGAAGUUGACGGUACCGUAGGAAUAAGCACCGGCUAACUACGUGCCAGCAGCCGCGGUAAUACGUAGGGUGCAAGCGUUGUCCGGAUUUACUGGGUUUAAAGGGUACGUAGGCGGUUGUGCCAAGUCUGGGGUGAAAGUUUGCAGCUCAACUGUAAAAAUUGCCUUGGAUACUGGUCGGCUAGAGUAGUGGAGCGGUGGCUGGAAUUUAUAGUGUAGCGGUGAAAUGCUUAGAUACUAUGAGGAACACCAAUUGCGAAGGCAGGUCACUGGUCACUAACUGACGCUGAGGUACGAAAGUGUGGGGAUCAAACAGGAUUAGAUACCCUGGUAG